AAUAAACCGUUGAAAAAGAAGAGUAAGCGUUCCAUGCAAUAUUUCAGAGAGCCGCCGUUGGUGGGAGUGCGGUAUAAAGCUGAUCGCUGAAUGGACUUUUGAGGGCGGCCCCGAACCAUUGUUUCAGUAGGGGCUGACGGAGACCACAACCGUUAUGUAACGUGGCAUAUAUGUUGGUAUAUGAAAAGUGGGCUUUUAUAAAGUCAAUUUGAGUGGCACCGCGGAUUGUUUGAUUCGUCUCAAGU
Molecule: non-coding RNA, 245 nt
Filed under: Lacrimispora saccharolytica
Lineage: Bacteria; Bacillati; Bacillota; Clostridia; Lachnospirales; Lachnospiraceae
Description: Clostridium saccharolyticum T-box sequence
Rfam family: T-box leader
About the family: Uncharged tRNA acts as the effector for transcription antitermination of genes in the T-box leader family. T-boxes are found upstream of many aminoacyl-tRNA synthetase genes and some amino acid biosynthetic genes usually in Gram-positive bacteria.
Source: RNAcentral